UGAUCUCGGCGGGUCGUGUCGGCUACCGGUUUUUAUAAGUUUCCUGUCCGGAGAUUUAUGACGAGGGGACCAACAACGAUAUUAUAUGUGUAUAAUAUACAGGUGUGUAUAUCAUACGUUAUAUUAUAUGGGUAGCGCCCGCCGAGACACCACCGAGUCUCGGAGAUUUCAACCGUUUUGAGACGUCACCGCGGUGGCUUAAAAGAGGAUGUCGGCGCACUAUAUAUUAUAGUUAUUAGUAUGUUUGUUUUCACUCUCCGGACCCACUGCAGCGAUGUGCAUUGUGAAGGUCGAUUCUCUCCGACAUUAAAGCAAACGACCCAACUAAACGAGACUGGUUCUGCCGAACGUGAAUUCACCAUGUGACGCGUGACUAUCGGUAAGAGAAAUCAAAAACUGUGCGUCGAUAAUUCCUUUCAAAUAUAUAAUACCAUAAAUGGCUCAAGUUUACAGUCAGUAUUAAAAAGGUUUAGGCGUUAACUUAAACAUGGUUCGAACUUUCACUUUCACGUAAAAGCGAUUUUAUAUAUAUGAUGCUCUCGUCUCGAAUAAUUCAAGUUAUUUGCCAUUUCCAGUUCUCUUUUUGAAAACUCGUCUACCGUCUGUUCUGUGCGACCCUUUCACAGCUGUUGACUCUUCCCGUGUAUAAAGGGUGUAAGAAGGCGAUUUAUGAAUUCCUCGUCUUUCAUUCUAAAAAUUUACCUGCACAAUCCUCAUGACUCCUGCCCAGUCAUGCAUAAGCUUGAUAUCCGCCCCCUUAGUGGAUAUAGAUGAAAGAGUAGACGGUAACUUAUAGUAUUCCUUCCUGCAGGGCUGAUGGACGGACGUGUACGCAUGCCCUUUAUUUGGUCUUCAAAUUAAAUUUUUAAGAUCCUUCCCGUUUCACACGAUCCCAAAUUACUGUUAUUGUACCCCUUCAUUCAACUAAUUACGUUUACAACGAUUCUUAGCUGAAAACAGAAUGAUGCUACGAGUAAGGUCUAAUUGCACUUAUUUAUGCCGAAGUACACUUGCAGGGACAGAAAAAGGUAUAAUGUUCGAACGGCUGGUAUCGAAUUGGUACCCGAGCUCCAACUACACAUGCCAAAUUGGUUCUCUUUUAAAAAAUAUAUUCUAUUGAGUUGAGCAGAAUAGGUUCACGUUUAAUUACUCACAUUUUCCUUCUCAAUCAUGAUCCAAAACCUAUAAAUAUGAAAGAAUAUCAAUCGAUGAUUGAAAAUAAUUUGUAUUUUUAAUGUUCAAAGAUAAUUGUUUUAAUUUGAAUAAUAUUGCAUAUACAGCUACAAUUUAAAAUGUAUAAUAAGAAUAUGAAAAUAUGUAUUUACGUUUAUUUCAAAAUAAAUUAUUUACAACUUUGAACUUCUACGAGCGAAUAGUUUAAAUAGUACAAUUCGAACAAUUGGUCUUGUGUUGAACUCAAGUGUAAUUAUUCAAAGUUUUUCAUUUAGGCGACUAAGAAGUUCAAAAAAACCAAAUACCUAUGCUAUAUUAUAUGAGCACCCUUUAUGUUUAUUUGUUUUAUUAAGC
Myzus persicae (green peach aphid) is the source of this 1527-nucleotide long non-coding RNA. RefSeq lists it as uncharacterized. The record is from RefSeq and is a predicted model, not a curated record. The transcript has 3 exons. Lineage: Eukaryota; Metazoa; Arthropoda; Insecta; Hemiptera; Aphididae.